RNAcentral lists this ribosomal RNA (404 nucleotides) under uncultured bacterium. RNAcentral's name for it is "bacterial SSU rRNA". It matches the Rfam family "Bacterial small subunit ribosomal RNA", at positions 362 to 758 of the family's 1533-position model. The record is from RNAcentral.
UUUUGGACAAUGGGCGCAAGCCUGAUCCAGCAAUGCCGCGUGCAGGAAGAAGGCCUUCGGGUUGUAAACUGCUUUUGUCAGGGAAGAAAUCUUCUGGGUUAAUACCUCGGGAGGAUGACGGUACCUGAAGAAUAAGCACCGGCUAACUACGUGCCAGCAGCCGCGGUAAUACGUAGGGUGCGAGCGUUAAUCGGAAUUACUGGGCGUAAAGCGUGCGCAGGCGGCUUUGCAAGACAGAUGUGAAAUCCCCGGGCUCAACCUGGGAACUGCAUUUGUGACUGCAAGGCUAGAGUACGGCAGAGGGGGAUGGAAUUCCGCGUGUAGCAGUGAAAUGCGUAGAUGUGCGGAGGAACACCGAUGGCGAAGGCAAUCCCCUGGGCCUGUACUGACGCUCAUGCACGAAA